GCUGCUUAAGAUCAUUAAAUGGGCACUUUAAACAGAUUUCAUCUGUAUACUAAGUUUGUCAUCAGAAGAACAGUUGGAAAUUUUCUGAUUGGAUUCACCAGGAGCCCUGAACCUCCUAGAAGCAAUUAUGAGGAUGGGAUGACAGAGUGUGCUGCAGGAGCUAGAGAUUCUACUGGAACUUCCCAGCCGGCAAACUUAUGUGAAACUUUCUGGGAGGUGACAUGAGUGGAAUUCUGCCUGAUUCCGGUGAGCUCUCUACGUCACCUCAGAGACAGGGGAAAGAAGCCGGAAGCAGACCCAGGCCUGUCUUCAUCCACCCUCAGCUAGCACAUGGCGAGCAUUCAAGAAUGGAGGCUGGGGCGACUGGGUGGCUCAGUUGGUUAAGCAUGUGCCUUCGGCUCAGGUCAUGAUCUCAGGGUCCUGUGAUGAGUCCCGCAUUGGGCUCCUUGCUCAGUGGGGAGCUUGCUUCUCCCUCUCCCUCUGCCUCUGCUUGUGCUCUCUCUCCAACAAAUAAAUAAUAGUAAUAAUAAAAAGAA
Molecule: long non-coding RNA, 536 nt
Filed under: Zalophus californianus (California sea lion)
Lineage: Eukaryota; Metazoa; Chordata; Mammalia; Carnivora; Otariidae
Description: lncRNA (ENSZCAG00015007725.1)
Source: RNAcentral